Molecule: ribosomal RNA, 457 nt
Filed under: uncultured Rhodoferax sp.
Lineage: Bacteria; Pseudomonadati; Pseudomonadota; Betaproteobacteria; Burkholderiales; Comamonadaceae
Description: bacterial SSU rRNA
Rfam family: Bacterial small subunit ribosomal RNA
Source: RNAcentral
GCACAAGCGGUGGAUGAUGUGGUUUAAUUCGAUGCAACGCGAAAACCUUACCCACCUUUGACAUGUACGGAACCUUUAGAGAUAGAGGGGUGCUCGAAAGAGAGCCGUAACACAGGUGCUGCAUGGCUGUCGUCAGCUCGUGUCGUGAGAUGUUGGGUUAAGUCCCGCAACGAGCGCAACCCUUGUCAUUAGUUGCUACAUUCAGUUGGGCACUCUAAUGAGACUGCCGGUGACAAGCCGGAGGAAGGUGGGGAUGACGUCAAGUCCUCAUGGCCCUUAUAGGUGGGGCUACACACGUCAUACAAUGGCUGGUACAAAGGGUUGCCAACCCGCGAGGGGGAGCCAAUCCCAUAAAGCCAGUCGUAGUCCGGAUCGUAGUCUGCAACUCGACUACGUGAAGUCGGAAUCGCUAGUAAUCGUGGAUCAGAAUGUCACGAUGAAUACGUUCCCGGGUCUU